UACGAAGGGGGCUAGCGUUGUUCGGAAUUACUGGGCGUAAAGCGCGCGCAGGCGGCUCUUCAAGUCAGGGGUGAAAGCCCAGAGCUCAACUCUGGAACUGCCUUUGAGACUGAAGAGCUUGAGUACGGGAGAGGUGAGUGGAAUUCCCAGUGUAGAGGUGAAAUUCGUAGAUAUUGGGAAGAACACCGGUGGCGAAGGCGGCUCACUGGCUCGUAUCUGACGCUCAGGCGCGACAGCGUGGGGAUCAAACAGG
RNAcentral lists this ribosomal RNA (253 nucleotides) under uncultured bacterium. RNAcentral describes it as "partial 16S ribosomal RNA". It matches the Rfam family "Bacterial small subunit ribosomal RNA", at positions 524 to 776 of the family's 1533-position model. The record is from RNAcentral.